RNAcentral lists this ribosomal RNA (322 nucleotides) under uncultured eukaryote. RNAcentral's name for it is "partial 18S ribosomal RNA". It matches the Rfam family "Eukaryotic small subunit ribosomal RNA", at positions 1470 to 1796 of the family's 1831-position model. The record is from RNAcentral.
CCCUUAGAUGUUCUGGGCCGCACGCGCGCUACACUGAUACGUUCAUCGAGCUUACCACCUUGGUCGAGAGGCCUGGGUAAUCUUUUAAAAGCGUAUCGUGCUGGGGAUAGAUUAUUGCAAUUUUUAAUCUUCAACGAGGAAUUCCUAGUAGACGCAAGUCAUCAACUUGCAUCGAUUACGUCCCUGCCCUUUGUACACACCGCCCGUCGCUACUACCGAUUGAAUGGUCCGGUGAAAUCUCGGGACGGCGGCUUGGUCGCUUGCGUCCGACUGCUGAAACUUGAUUAAACCAUAUCAUUUAGAGGAAGGUGAAGUCGUAACA